Molecule: long non-coding RNA, 216 nt
Organism: Phragmites australis (common reed)
Lineage: Eukaryota; Viridiplantae; Streptophyta; Magnoliopsida; Poales; Poaceae
Exons: 3
Source: RefSeq, a predicted model, not a curated record
GUCCAGAUCGUGCGCUCGUUCAGCUCACGAUGAGCGGGCCACUCGGUGGAUUUUUGAUCUGGUUUGGUCUGUUGCAAGCAGCUAGGCAUGGGGAGAUGCAAUUAGUUGUUUCUGCACUUCGCAAUUUUUUCAGGUGUGGCAGUUUCUUCGUGGAGCAGCAAGCUAUUUUCGGAUUUCUGACGUGCGCACUCGCUAUUUUCCAUUGUAAUCAGUCAG